UGGGGAAUAUUGGACAAUGGGCGAAAGCCUGAUCCAGCCAUGCCGCGUGUGUGAAGAAGGUCUUCGGAUUGUAAAGCACUUUAAGUUGGGAGGAAGGGUUGUAGAUUAAUACUCUGCAAUUUUGACGUUACCGACAGAAUAAGCACCGGCUAACUCUGUGCCAGCAGCCGCGGUAAUACAGAGGGUGCAAGCGUUAAUCGGAAUUACUGGGCGUAAAGCGCGCGUAGGUGGUUAGUUAAGUUGGAUGUGAAAUCCCCGGGCUCAACCUGGGAACUGCAUUCAAAACUGACUGACUAGAGUAUGGUAGAGGGUGGUGGAAUUUCCUGUGUAGCGGUGAAAUGCGUAGAUAUAGGAAGGAACACCAGUGGCGAAGGCGACCACCUGGACUGAUACUGACACUGAGGUGCGAAAGCGUGGGGAGCAAACAGGAUUAGAUACCCCUGUAGUCCCUGAGCGGGCUGGCAAGGCGCAU
This 472-nucleotide ribosomal RNA is filed under the name uncultured bacterium. RNAcentral describes it as "bacterial SSU rRNA". It matches the Rfam family "Bacterial small subunit ribosomal RNA", at positions 355 to 825 of the family's 1533-position model. The record is from RNAcentral.